AGACGGAGGGUGCUAGCGUUGUUCGGAAUCAUUGGGCGUAAAGGGCGUGUAGGCGGCCUGUUAAGUCGUGCGUGAAAGCCCUCGGCUCAACCGAGGAAGGGCGUAUGAAACUGGCAGGCUAGAGUACAGUAGAGGGGAGUGGAAUUUCCGGUGUAGCGGUGAAAUGCUUAGAUAUCGGAAGGAACACCAGUGGCGAAGGCGGCUCUCUGGACUGUAACUGACGCUGAGGUGCGAAAGCGUGGGUAGCGAACAGGAUUAGAAACCCCAGUAGUCC
Molecule: ribosomal RNA, 274 nt
Filed under: uncultured bacterium
Lineage: Bacteria
Description: partial 16S ribosomal RNA
Rfam family: Bacterial small subunit ribosomal RNA
Source: RNAcentral